AAUUUAAAGUUCCAUUUUAAAUUUUGAUUUAAACCUGUAACUAUAUUCUUUAAAUUUAAGAAUUUUUUUUAAAAAAAUUGAAAAUAACUAAAAUUAAAAUUUAUAUUGUUUUUUUCAUGACCUUUGAUUGAUUUUAGUCUAAGGGUUCAAUAUUUUCAAUAUAAAAUUAUAAUAUUUUAUAAUAUUUUAAAAUUUAAACUACUAAAUAUAAAAUUAUAAAUAUAAUUAUUUUAAAAAUAUUAUCUCAAACCAUAUCUAUUUCGAACGUUUAACCCUAAACCCUAAACCACAUGCUUUGACCUAUACCAAAAAACAUUAAACUUCAAACUUUAAACAAAAUUUAAUUAAUCAUAUACCAUAAAUUCUAACUACAAAUGUUAAAACUCUAAUAUUUUUGUUAUUUAAAAAUAUAAUCUUAAAUGUUAAAUCGAAACUCAAAACACUAUA
This 447-nucleotide long non-coding RNA is filed under the name Brassica napus (rape). RNAcentral's name for it is "long non-coding RNA (BNAP_LNC009769)". Lineage: Eukaryota; Viridiplantae; Streptophyta; Magnoliopsida; Brassicales; Brassicaceae. The record is from RNAcentral.